AAUUUUUAUACAAGGGAUAGUCUGAAAAUAAGUUUUGUGUUUAUAUAUUUCCAGAGGCAGUAGAUAUAUUUUGUGGGCUAAAAUAUAUUGUGCUGGUACAGACAUCCGUUCUCUAACAAUACAUAUUCAGUCUUGCCCGAAAGAGCAUAUUAUAUUAUUAUUAUAGCAAUCUAUUAUAUAUGUACACUUGCAUGUUACAAGAGCUACAGUAGUUAAAAAUGAUCAAGUACUGUGCAGAAUGUGCCAUACUUGGUAAUCUGAGGGGACACAAUAAUGUAUAGAUGGGGAUGAAGUAUAGGCAGUUAUCCACUAUGAAUUGGUAUGUGGCACCAUAUUCUUUAAUGGCAACCCAAUAUCCAUAUGGUGACAACAGCAGCAAACCAUACGGAUUGUCAAACUUGAGAGAGAGAAUGCCUCGGCAAGACAGUUUCUACAGAUUUCUUCCAGCUUUGAAGUUAAUGAUGGAAAGGCAGUAUUUCACCAACAAUGAUAUGAAAUAAGCCAUUUGAAUUUUCAUCCAUAUCCAGAGCAUAAACUUUUACAAAAGGUACUACUUCAACUUUGUUAAUCAAUAAAAUAAGUGUGUCAAUAUCAAUG
RNAcentral lists this long non-coding RNA (597 nucleotides) under Androctonus crassicauda. Lineage: Eukaryota; Metazoa; Arthropoda; Arachnida; Scorpiones; Buthidae. The record is from RNAcentral.